AUGAUUUAGGUACCAAAUGGGCAUGUUUGGGUCGAAGGGGAUAAUUUGCUCAACAGUAGAGAUUCCAGGAAUUUCGGUGCAGUUCCUUACCGGUAUCUAGGCUAUAGAGUAUUUGCUGUGGUGUGGCCACCUAGCGAAUGCAGAUUGAUAAGCAACAAGAUUGAAUAACUCUGUCUUGAAAGGUGUACUUACAUAGCACUUAAAUCUUUCUUCAGUCAACCUUGUUUGGGCAUUCUUUGAUUUGUUAUUGUUCACAUCCAUCGAUGGCAUACAUUUCUAAACACCUGUAUGAGAUUAUGAAUAAGUAAGAAAAUUCUGUUCUUGUUUUAUUGCUAUGAUACAUGUGAACUCUGAUAUUCAUUCCGGUGGAACUUGCAGUUUCUGCUCUCUACAUGAAUCUUACCUUGCUUCACUUGAGAGCUAUCGAAUAAAGAAUCAAACAAGCUGUUGGAGGAGAGAAGAGAUGUGGA
Molecule: non-coding RNA, 470 nt
Organism: Salvia hispanica
Lineage: Eukaryota; Viridiplantae; Streptophyta; Magnoliopsida; Lamiales; Lamiaceae
Source: RefSeq, a predicted model, not a curated record